AAAUUGAAGAGUUUGAUCAUGGCUCAGAUUGAACGCUGGCGGCAGGCCUAACACAUGCAAGUCGAACGGUAACAGGAAGCAGCUUGCUGCUUCGCUGACGAGUGGCGGACGGGUGAGUAAUGUCUGGGAAACUGCCUGAUGGAGGGGGAUAACUACUGGAAACGGUGGCUAAUACCGCAUAACGUCGCAAGACCAAAGAGGGGGACCUUCGGGCCUCUUGCCAUCAGAUGUGCCCAGAUGGGAUUAGCUGGUUGGUGAGGUAACGGCUCACCAAGGCGACGAUCCCUAGCUGGUCUGAGAGGAUGACCAGCCACACUGGAACUGAGACACGGUCCAGACUCCUACGGGAGGCAGCAGUGGGGAAUAUUGCACAAUGGGCGCAAGCCUGAUGCAGCCAUGCCGCGUGUAUGAAGAAGGCCUUCGGGUUGUAAAGUACUUUCAGCGGGGAGGAAGGUGUUGUGGUUAAUAACUGCAGCAAUUGACGUUACCCGCAGAAGAAGCACCGGCUAACUCCGUGCCA
RNAcentral lists this ribosomal RNA (520 nucleotides) under Salmonella enterica. RNAcentral describes it as "bacterial SSU rRNA". It matches the Rfam family "Bacterial small subunit ribosomal RNA", at positions 1 to 510 of the family's 1533-position model. Lineage: Bacteria; Pseudomonadati; Pseudomonadota; Gammaproteobacteria; Enterobacterales; Enterobacteriaceae. RNAcentral also lists the same sequence under 1 other name. The record is from RNAcentral.